This 465-nucleotide ribosomal RNA is filed under the name uncultured bacterium. RNAcentral's name for it is "partial 16S ribosomal RNA". It matches the Rfam family "Bacterial small subunit ribosomal RNA", at positions 338 to 795 of the family's 1533-position model. The record is from RNAcentral.
CCUACGGGAGGCAGCAGUGGGGAAUAUUGCGCAAUGGGCGAAAGCCUGACGCAGCGACGCCGCGUGAGGGAUGAAGGUCUUCGGAUCGUAAACCUCUGUCAGCAGGGAAGAACGGUCACUUUGCUAAUCAGCAGUGAAUUGACGGUACCUGCAAAGGAAGCACCGGCUAACUCCGUGCCAGCAGCCGCGGUAAUACGGAGGGUGCGAGCGUUAAUCGGAAUUACUGGGCGUAAAGCGCUCGUAGGCGGUACGUCAAGUCAAGGGUGAAAUCCCCGCGCGCAACGUGGGAACUGCCUUUGAAACUGGCAGACUGGAGAGUGUGAGAGGGUAGUGGAAUUCCAGGUGGAGGAGUAAAAUCCGUAGAUAUCUGGAGGAACAUCAGUGGCGAAGGCGACUAGCUGGCACGUAGCUGACGCUGAGGAGCGAAAGCGUGGGUAGCAAACAGGAUUAGAUACCCUUGUAGUC